RNAcentral lists this ribosomal RNA (1372 nucleotides) under uncultured bacterium. RNAcentral's name for it is "bacterial SSU rRNA". It matches the Rfam family "Bacterial small subunit ribosomal RNA", at positions 28 to 1381 of the family's 1533-position model. The record is from RNAcentral.
GAUAAACGCUGGCGGCGUGCCUAAUACAUGCAAGUCGAGCGAACGGACGAGAAGCUUGCUUCUCUGAUGUUAGCGGCGGACGGGUGAGUAACACGUGGAUAACCUACCUAUAAGACUGGGAUAACUUCGGGAAACCGGAGCUAAUACCGGAUAAUAUUUUGAACCGCAUGGUUCAAAAGUGAAAGACGGUCUUGCUGUCACUUAUAGAUGGAUCCGCGCUGCAUUAGCUAGUUGGUAAGGUAACGGCUUACCAAGGCAACGAUGCAUAGCCGACCUGAGAGGGUGAUCGGCCACACUGGAACUGAGACACGGUCCAGACUCCUACGGGAGGCAGCAGUAGGGAAUCUUCCGCAAUGGGCGAAAGCCUGACGGAGCAACGCCGCGUGAGUGAUGAAGGUCUUCGGAUCGUAAAACUCUGUUAUUAGGGAAGAACAUAUGUGUAAGUAACUGUGCACAUCUUGACGGUACCUAAUCAGAAAGCCACGGCUAACUACGUGCCAGCAGCCGCGGUAAUACGUAGGUGGCAAGCGUUAUCCGGAAUUAUUGGGCGUAAAGCGCGCGUAGGCGGUUUUUUAAGUCUGAUGUGAAAGCCCACGGCUCAACCGUGGAGGGUCAUUGGAAACUGGAAAACUUGAGUGCAGAAGAGGAAAGUGGAAUUCCAUGUGUAGCGGUGAAAUGCGCAGAGAUAUGGAGGAACACCAGUGGCGAAGGCGACUUUCUGGUCUGUAACUGACGCUGAUGUGCGAAAGCGUGGGGAUCAAACAGGAUUAGAUACCCUGGUAGUCCACGCCGUAAACGAUGAGUGCUAAGUGUUAGGGGGUUUCCGCCCCUUAGUGCUGCAGCUAACGCAUUAAGCACUCCGCCUGGGGAGUACGACCGCAAGGUUGAAACUCAAAGGAAUUGACGGGGACCCGCACAAGCGGUGGAGCAUGUGGUUUAAUUCGAAGCAACGCGAAGAACCUUACCAAAUCUUGACAUCCUUUGACAACUCUAGAGAUAGAGCCUUCCCCUUCGGGGGACAAAGUGACAGGUGGUGCAUGGUUGUCGUCAGCUCGUGUCGUGAGAUGUUGGGUUAGGUCCCGCAACGAGCGCAACCCUUAAGCUUAGUUGCCAUCAUUAAGUUGGGCACUCUAAGUUGACUGCCGGUGACAAACCGGAGGAAGGUGGGGAUGACGUCAAAUCAUCAUGCCCCUUAUGAUUUGGGCUACACACGUGCUACAAUGGACAAUACAAAGGGCAGCGAAACCGCGAGGUCAAGCAAAUCCCAUAAAGUUGUUCUCAGUUCGGAUUGUAGUCUGCAACUCGACUACAUGAAGCUGGAAUCGCUAGUAAUCGUAGAUCAGCAUGCUACGGUGAAUACGUUCCCGGGUCU